This 548-nucleotide ribosomal RNA is filed under the name Fusarium oxysporum f. sp. ciceris. RNAcentral's name for it is "eukaryotic LSU rRNA". The stretch from base 179 to 332 matches the Rfam family "5.8S ribosomal RNA". The record is from RNAcentral. Lineage: Eukaryota; Fungi; Ascomycota; Sordariomycetes; Hypocreales; Nectriaceae.
CCGUAGGGGGAACCUGCGGAGGGAUCAUUACCGAGUUUACAACUCCCAAACCCCUGUGAACAUACCACUUGUUGCCUCGGCGGAUCAGCCCGCUCCCGGUAAAACGGGACGGCCCGCCAGAGGACCCCUAAACUCUGUUUCUAUAUGUAACUUCUGAGUAAAACCAUAAAUAAAUCAAAACUUUCAACAACGGAUCUCUUGGUUCUGGCAUCGAUGAAGAACGCAGCAAAAUGCGAUAAGUAAUGUGAAUUGCAGAAUUCAGUGAAUCAUCGAAUCUUUGAACGCACAUUGCGCCCGCCAGUAUUCUGGCGGGCAUGCCUGUUCGAGCGUCAUUUCAACCCUCAAGCACAGCUUGGUGUUGGGACUCGCGUUAAUUCGCGUUCCUCAAAUUGAUUGGCGGUCACGUCGAGCUUCCAUAGCGUAGUAGUAAAACCCUCGUUACUGGUAAUCGUCGCGGCCACGCCGUUAAACCCCAACUUCUGAAUGUUGACCUCGGAUUCAUGGGUAGGAAUACCCGCUGAACUUAAGCAUAUCAAUAAGCGGAGGAA